GCGACGUCGCGAGAAGUUCAUUGAACCUUAUCAUUUAGAGGAAGGAGAAGUCGUAACAAGGUUUCCGUAGGUGAACCUGCGGAAGGAUCAUUG
RNAcentral lists this ribosomal RNA (93 nucleotides) under Scilla siberica (Siberian squill). RNAcentral's name for it is "partial 18S ribosomal RNA". It matches the Rfam family "Eukaryotic small subunit ribosomal RNA", at positions 1739 to 1831 of the family's 1831-position model. The record is from RNAcentral. Lineage: Eukaryota; Viridiplantae; Streptophyta; Magnoliopsida; Asparagales; Asparagaceae. RNAcentral also lists the same sequence under 2 other names.